GAGUUUGAUCAUGGCUCAGGAUGAACGCUACCGGGAGGCUUAAUACAUGCAAGUCGAGGGGUAACAUGAGUGCUUGCACUUGAUGACGACCGGCGCACGGGUGAGUAACGCGUACACGAUCUACCUUUAAGAGGGGGAUAGCCCUGGGAAACUAGGAUUAAUACCCCAUGUGAUUAUAGAGCUACAUGGUUUUAUAAUUAAAGCUUCGGUGCUUAAAGAUGAGUGUGCGUACUAUUAGCUAGUUGGUAAGGUAACGGCUUACCAAGGCUACGAUAGUUAGGGGGCGUGAGAGCGUGAUCCCCCACACGGGUACUGAGACACGGACCCGACUCCUUUUGGAGGCAGCAGUAAGGAAUAUUGGAUAAUGGGCAGCAAGCCUGAUCCAGCCAUCCCGCGUGCAGGAUGACUGUCCUAUGGGUUGUAAACUGCUUUUACA
Molecule: ribosomal RNA, 436 nt
Filed under: uncultured Bacteroidota bacterium
Lineage: Bacteria; Pseudomonadati; Bacteroidota
Description: bacterial SSU rRNA
Rfam family: Bacterial small subunit ribosomal RNA
Source: RNAcentral